RNAcentral lists this ribosomal RNA (507 nucleotides) under uncultured bacterium. Its description in RNAcentral is "bacterial SSU rRNA". It matches the Rfam family "Bacterial small subunit ribosomal RNA", at positions 23 to 518 of the family's 1533-position model. The record is from RNAcentral.
CUCAGGAUGAACGCUAGCUACAGGCUUAACACAUGCAAGUCGAGGGGCAUCAUGGAGUUUGCUUGCAAACUCUGAUGGCGACCGGCGCACGGGUGAGUAACGCGUAUCCAACCUUCCCUAUAGUAGAGGAUAGCCCGGCGAAAGUCGGAUUAAUACUCUAUGUUUUCCGUUGCAGACAUCUAAGAUGGAACAAAGGCUUGCCGCUAUAGGAUGGGGAUGCGUCUGAUUAGGUAGUCGGCGGGGUAACGGCCCACCGAGCCUUCGAUCAGUAGGGGUUCUGAGAGGAAGGUCCCCCACAUUGGAACUGAGACACGGUCCAAACUCCUACGGGAGGCAGCAGUGAGGAAUAUUGGUCAAUGGACGAGAGUCUGAACCAGCCAAGUAGCCGUGCAGGAUGACGGCCCUAUGGGUUGUAAACUGCUUUUAUGCGGGGAUAAAGUUCACUACGUGUAGUGUUUUGUAGGUACCGCAUGAAUAAGGACCGGCUAAUUCCGUGCCAGCCGCGGC